This 333-nucleotide unclassified non-coding RNA is filed under the name soil metagenome. RNAcentral's name for it is "partial contains 5.8S ribosomal RNA, internal transcribed spacer 2, and large subunit ribosomal RNA". The stretch from base 1 to 120 matches the Rfam family "5.8S ribosomal RNA", at positions 35 to 154 of the family's 154-position model. The record is from RNAcentral.
GAUGAAGAACGCAGCGAAAUGCGAUAAGUAAUGUGAAUUGCAGAAUUCAGUGAAUCAUCGAAUCUUUGAACGCACAUUGCGCCCGCCAGUAUUCUGGCGGGCAUGCCUGUUCGAGCGUCAUUUCAACCAUCAAGCCCCGGGCUUGUGUUGGGGACCUGCGGCUGCCGCAGGCCCUGAAAUGCAGUGGCGGGCUCGCUGUCACUCCGAGCGUAGUAGUUACAUCUCGCUCUGGGCGUGCUGCGGGUUCCGGCCGUUAAAAGCCUUAUUUACCCAAGGUUGACCUCGGAUCAGGUAGGAAGACCCGCUGAACUUAAGCAUAUCAAAAGCGGAGGA